AUGGCUCUCCUCCUCAGGGUCCUAACUCCGAACUUUGGCAUUGCCUCCCCUGCCUUCCCUCCGCAGGUGCUGCAGGGAGCCUCACACCCCCUCCACAGAGCUCAGAGGGACAUGGGGCGCCCAGGGAAACAGCCCUGCCACAGCCCCAGCACCCCCAAGUCUGCAUCCUUCUGGAUCCAUAGUGAGGGGGGAACCCCUCCCCUGAAACGGGACCACCCUCCUCCUUCUCCUAGAUGCUGUGUCCCUUUAUAGUGCUUCACUCACUCCCUCCUCGCAGCCAGUGCUGAACAUCUUCUGUAAUGUAGAAUUACUGAGCAAGUAUGACGAAUGCCCCCUCCCCGGCAGAGCCAUGCCAAAGACUGCAAGCAGGUCAUUAACUGCCAAGGUCAUCUUGUUUGUGAAAAAGAAAGGAAAACAUUACCAUUAAGACUCUAAUACGGUAAAACAGCAAUGACAGCAACAAGGAAACAUAAGCUUAAUGUUUCCUUUAACCCUCACUUAAAAACACAUUUGAAGUCAUCUGAUUUGGCCACAUGACUUUGCAAAUUACCAUUCGUUGAGCAGGUUUGGGCUGGAUUCAGCCCAGUUUCACACUUGUACCACACAUGUACCCCAACAUUUUUUUGCAGGAUCUGUCGAACCUUAUCUCAAAGCAGAAAGCAAUGAAUUAAUCUGACGUUUCAAAACCUGCCAUCAGGAGGGCCACCAAUCCCCUCCUGCCCAUCAGCUUUUAGGGCACAUUACUGAAUCUUUGCAUGACCACAAGACUUGCCUGGGUGCAGCAGCAACUGCCCUGCAAUCCCCAGCAGACUCCCCAGCCUCCCCCCUUUCCUACAGGGAGCAUAUAAAUUUUUCUCCAUCUGAGUCUUAACUACUGUUUGUCUGCAGACUUGUAAAAUACACUAAGAAAUGCCUAAUGAGACACUGAUCUGGCAUCCAAAUGUUCUCCCCCAUGCAUUUCCCCAGCGGGCCGUUGCCUGAGCAGCACACACGUUGAGGCUGUAAUUUGUUUGCCAGCUCUCCAAGGAAGGAAGGAAGGAAAGUGGGCGGGUGGGUGAGAGCUGGAGUCAGUGCAACAUCAGCACAUGGCUGGCUUGCACAUGUUUUCAGUCGCUGACUACUAAGAAAAUAUAAACGUAUACACACACACACACAGAGAACAACGCUGAAGGCCAAAUGAAGACAGGGAGAUUGCUAGGAUAACAUCACUUCCUUCACACCAGGAGCUAAUAAAAUAAGUAAAAACCACA
RNAcentral lists this long non-coding RNA (1250 nucleotides) under Cyanistes caeruleus (blue tit). Its description in RNAcentral is "lncRNA (ENSCCEG00000010053.1)". The record is from RNAcentral. Lineage: Eukaryota; Metazoa; Chordata; Aves; Passeriformes; Paridae.